AGAGUUUGAUCAUGGCUCAGAUUGAACGCUGGCGGUAUGCUUAGCACAUGCAAGUCGAACGGUAACAGGCCUUCGGGCGCUGACGAGUGGCGGACGGGUGAGUAACGCGUAGGAAUCUGCCUCAUAGUGGGGGACAACGUGGGGAAACUCACGCUAAUACCGCAUACGCCCUACGGGGGAAAGCGGGGGAUCUUCGGACCUCGCGCUAUGAGAUGAGCCUGCGUUAGAUUAGCUAGUUGGUAGGGUAAAGGCCUACCAAGGCGACGAUCUAUAGCUGGUCUGAGAGGACGAUCAGCCACACUGGGACUGAGACACGGCCCAGACUCCUACGGGAGGCAGCAGUGGGGAAUAUUGGACAAUGGGCGCAAGCCUGAUCCAGCAAUACCGCGUGUGUGAAGAAGGCCUAGGGUUGUAAAGCACUUUCAAUUGGGAGGAAAACCUGCCGGUCAAUACCCGGCAGCUUGACAUUACCUUUAGAAGAAGCACCGGCUAACUCCGUG
Molecule: ribosomal RNA, 500 nt
Filed under: uncultured bacterium
Lineage: Bacteria
Description: bacterial SSU rRNA
Rfam family: Bacterial small subunit ribosomal RNA
Source: RNAcentral